Molecule: ribosomal RNA, 377 nt
Filed under: uncultured delta proteobacterium
Lineage: Bacteria; Deltaproteobacteria
Description: bacterial SSU rRNA
Rfam family: Bacterial small subunit ribosomal RNA
Source: RNAcentral
UAAUACGGAGGGUGCAAGCGUUGUUCGGAAUCACUGGGCGUAAAGGGCGCGCAGGCGGUUUGGUAAGUCAGAUGUGAAAGCCCACGGCUCAACCGUGGAAGUGCAUUUGAAACUGUCAGACUUGAGUACCAGAGGGGAAAGUGGAAUUCCCGGUGUAGAGGUGAAAUUCGUAGAUAUCGGGAGGAAUACCGGUGGCGAAGGCGACUUUCUGGCUGGAUACUGACGCUGAGGCGCGAAAGCGUGGGGAGCAAACAGGAUUAGAUACCCUGGUAGUCCACGCCGUAAACGAUGUCAACUAGGUGUAGGGGGUGUUGAUCCCCUCUGUGCCGCAGCUAACGCAUUAAGUUGACCGCCUGGGGAGUACGGUCGCAAGAUUA